CAGCCGCCGCGGGAAUACGUAGGGUGCGAGCGUUAAUCGGAAUUACUGGGCGUAAAGCGUGCGCAGGCGGUUGUGUAAGACAGGUGUGAAAUCCCCGGGCUUAACCUGGGAACUGCGCUUGUGACUGCACAGCUAGAGUAUGGCAGAGGGGGGUGGAAUUCCACAUGUAGCAGUGAAAUGCGUAGAGAUGUGGAGGAACACCGUUGGCGAAGGCAGCCCCCUGGGCCAAUACUGACGCUCAUGCACGAAAGCGUGGGGAGCAAACAGGAUUAGAUACCCCGGUAGUCCCUGUCUCUUAUAC
Molecule: ribosomal RNA, 301 nt
Filed under: uncultured bacterium
Lineage: Bacteria
Description: partial 16S ribosomal RNA
Rfam family: Bacterial small subunit ribosomal RNA
Source: RNAcentral